RNAcentral lists this ribosomal RNA (414 nucleotides) under Onchocerca jakutensis. Its description in RNAcentral is "partial 12S ribosomal RNA". Lineage: Eukaryota; Metazoa; Nematoda; Chromadorea; Rhabditida; Onchocercidae. The record is from RNAcentral.
GUUGUGGUACCGCGAUUUUUUGGUUAUUAUUAUGUUAUUUUUUGUAAAAUAUUUUAGUUUUUUUUUAUUUUUUUGUGGUAUCAAAAAUUUGUUUUUUGAACUGGAUUAGUACCCAGGUAAUCAAAAUUUAAUAAUUCGGGAGUAAAGUUUUGUUUAAACCGAAAAAAUAUUGACUGACUUUAGAUUUUUCUUUGGAAUAUGUGAUUUGCUGGAGAGCCCUCUUUUUUGGUGAAUUUUAUUGGCACAUGUAUGAUUGUUUAGUUUUUAUUUUAUUUCGUAAUGCUUUUUGUUUUGGCAUUUAAAACAGAUAUAUAUUUGGCUUAUGAAUUCAUGUUUCAUGUGUUACUAUUAUAAAUUUUUUUUGGAUUAAUUUUUUAUUUUUUUUUGAAAUUGGAAAAGAAAGUAAUUUUUUCU